This 76-nucleotide transfer RNA is filed under the name Verrucomicrobiales bacterium. RNAcentral describes it as "tRNA-Asp". It matches the Rfam family "tRNA". Rfam says of the family: Transfer RNA (tRNA) molecules are approximately 80 nucleotides in length. Their secondary structure includes four short double-helical elements and three loops (D, anti-codon, and T loops). Further hydrogen bonds mediate the characteristic L-shaped molecular structure. tRNAs have two regions of fundamental functional importance: the anti-codon, which is responsible for specific mRNA codon recognition, and the 3' end, to which the tRNAs corresponding amino acid is attached (by aminoacyl-tRNA synthetases). tRNAs cope with the degeneracy of the genetic code in two manners: having more than one tRNA (with a specific anti-codon) for a particular amino acid; and 'wobble' base-pairing, i.e. permitting non-standard base-pairing at the 3rd anti-codon position. The record is from RNAcentral. Lineage: Bacteria; Pseudomonadati; Verrucomicrobiota; Verrucomicrobiia; Verrucomicrobiales.
GGUCCGUUAGCUCAUUCAGAAGAGCAGCCGCUUGUCGAGCGGCAGGUGGCGGGAGCAUAGCCCGCACGGACCGCCA